This 559-nucleotide ribosomal RNA is filed under the name uncultured bacterium. RNAcentral describes it as "bacterial SSU rRNA". It matches the Rfam family "Bacterial small subunit ribosomal RNA", at positions 224 to 774 of the family's 1533-position model. The record is from RNAcentral.
GAUGGACCCGCGGUGCAUUAGCUAGUUGGUGAGGUAACGGCUCACCAAGGCAACGAUGCAUAGCCGACCUGAGAGGGUGAUCGGCCACAUUGGGACUGAGACACGGCCCAAACUCCUACGGGAGGCAGCAGUAGGGAAUCUUCGGCAAUGGACGAAAGUCUGACCGAGCAACGCCGCGUGAGUGAAGAAGGUUUUCGGAUCGUAAAACUCUGUUGUUAGAGAAGAACAAGGAUGAGAGUAAAAUGUUCAUCCCUUGACGGUAUCCAACCAGAAAGCCACGGCUAACUACGUGCCAGCAGCCGCGGUAAUACGUAGGUGGCAAGCGUUGUCCGGAUUUAUUGGGCGUAAAGCGAGCGCAGGCGGUUUCUUAAGUCUGAUGUGAAAGCCCCCGGCUCAACCGGGGAGGGUCAUUGGAAACUGGGAAACUUGAGUGCAGAAGAGGAGAGUGGAAUUCCAUGUGUAGCGGUGAAAUGCGUAGAUAUAUGGAGGAACACCAGUGGCGAAGGCGGCUCUCUGGUCUGUAACUGACGCUGAGGCUCGAAAGCGUGGGGAGCAAACA